GAUGAACGCUGGCGGCGUGCCUAAUACAUGCAAGUCGAGCGAACGGACGAGAAGCUUGCUUCUCUGAUGUUAGCGGCGGACGGGUGAGUAACACGUGGAUAACCUACCUAUAAGACUGGGAUAACUUCGGGAAACCGGAGCUAAUACCGGAUAAUAUUUUGAACCGCAUGGUUCAAAAGUGAAAGACGGUCUUGCUGUCACUUAUAGAUGGAUCCGCGCUGCAUUAGCUAGUUGGUAAGGUAACGGCUUACCAAGGCAACGAUGCAUAGCCGACCUGAGAGGGUGAUCGGCCGCACUAGAGCGGGGACACGGUCCAGACUCCUACGGGAGGCAGCAGUAGGGAAUCUUCCGCAAUGGGCGAAAGCCUGACGGAGCAACGCCGCGUGAGUGAUGAAGGUCUUCGGAUCGUAAAACUCUGUUAUUAGGGAAGAACAUAUGUGUAAGUAACUGUGCACAUCUUGACGGUACCUAAUCAGAAAGCCACGGCUAACUACGUG
RNAcentral lists this ribosomal RNA (497 nucleotides) under uncultured bacterium. Its description in RNAcentral is "partial 16S ribosomal RNA". It matches the Rfam family "Bacterial small subunit ribosomal RNA", at positions 28 to 507 of the family's 1533-position model. The record is from RNAcentral.